UUUGUUCCCUAAAUAGGGACUUGUAUGAAUGGCCACACGAGGGCUUUACUGUCUCUUACUUCCAAUCCGUGAAAUUGACCUUCCCGUGAAGAGGCGGGAAUAUAACAAUAAGACGAGAAGACCCUAUGGAGCUUUAAUUAACCGACCCAAAGAGACCCCACUAAUUAACCGACAGGAACAACAAAUCUCUACAUGGGCCGACAAUUUAGGUUGGGGUGACCUCGGAGAAUAAAACAACCUCCGAGUGAUUUAAAUCUAGACUAACCAGUCGAAAGUAUUACAUCACUUAUUGAUCCAAAAACUUGAUCAACGGAACAAGUUACCCUAGGGAUAACAGCGCAAUCCUAUUCUAGAGUCCAUAUCGACAAUAGGG
RNAcentral lists this ribosomal RNA (373 nucleotides) under Leopardus wiedii (margay). RNAcentral describes it as "partial 16S ribosomal RNA". It matches the Rfam family "Bacterial large subunit ribosomal RNA", at positions 1968 to 2516 of the family's 2925-position model. Lineage: Eukaryota; Metazoa; Chordata; Mammalia; Carnivora; Felidae. The record is from RNAcentral.